This 520-nucleotide ribosomal RNA is filed under the name uncultured bacterium. RNAcentral describes it as "bacterial SSU rRNA". It matches the Rfam family "Archaeal small subunit ribosomal RNA", at positions 345 to 866 of the family's 1478-position model. The record is from RNAcentral.
AACCUCCGCAAUGUGAGAAAUCGCGACGGGGGGAUCCCAAGUGCCAUUCUUAACGGGAUGGCUUUUCAUAAGUGUAAAGAGCUUUUGGAAUAAGGGCUGGGCAAGACCGGUGCCAGCCGCCGCGGUAACACCGGCAGCUCUAGUGGUAGCAGUUUUAUUGGGCCUAAAGCGUCCGUAGCCGGUUUAAUAAGUCUCUGGUGAAAUCCUGUAGCUUAACUGUGGGAAUUGCUGGAGAUACUAUUAGACUUGAGACCGGGAGAGGUUAGAGGUACUCCCAGGGUAGAGGUGAAAUUCUGUAAUCCUGGGAGGACCGCCUGUUGCGAAGGCGUCUAACUGGAACGGUUCUGACGGUGAGGGACGAAAGUUAGGGGCGCGAACCGGAUUAGAUACCCGGGUAGUCCUAACUGUAAACGAUGCGGACUUGGUGUUGGGGUGGCUUUGAGCUGCUCCAGUGCCGAAGGGAAGCUGUUAAGUCCGCCGCCUGGGAAGUACGGUCGCAAGACUGAAACUUAAAGGAAUU